This 431-nucleotide ribosomal RNA is filed under the name uncultured bacterium. Its description in RNAcentral is "partial 16S ribosomal RNA". It matches the Rfam family "Bacterial small subunit ribosomal RNA", at positions 29 to 507 of the family's 1533-position model. The record is from RNAcentral.
AAUGAACGCUGGCGGUAGGCUUAACACAUGCAAGUCGAGCGCCCCGCCAGGAGAGCGGCAGACGGGUGAGUAACGCGUGGCAACGUACCUUUUGGUUCGGCACAACUCCGGGAAUCUGGAGCUAAUACCGGAUAAGCCCUAACGUGGUAAGAGUUAUCGCCGAAAGUUCGGCCCGCGUCUGAUUAGCUAGUUGGUGAGGUAACGGCUCCCCAAGGCGACGAUCAGUAGCUGGUCUGAUAGGAUGAUCAGCCACACUGGAAGUGAGGCACGGCCCAGACUCCUACGGGAGGGAGCAGAAGGGUAUAUUAGACAAUGGGCGCAAGCCUGAACCAGCCACGCGGCGUGAGUGAUGAUGGCCUUAAGAUAGUAAAGGUCUUUUGUCCGGGAAGAUAAUGGCUGUACCGGAAGGAUAAGGCCCGGCUUACUUCGGU